This 169-nucleotide ribosomal RNA is filed under the name uncultured bacterium. RNAcentral's name for it is "partial 16S ribosomal RNA". It matches the Rfam family "Bacterial small subunit ribosomal RNA", at positions 338 to 524 of the family's 1533-position model. The record is from RNAcentral.
CCUACGGGAGGCAGCAGUGGGGAAUUUUGCGCAAUGGGGGAAACCCUGACGCAGCAACGCCGCGUGGAGGAUGAAGUCCCUUGGGACGUAAACUCCUUUCGACCGGGACGAUAAUGACGGUACCGGUGGAAGAAGCCCCGGCUAACUUCGUGCCAGCAGCCGCGGUAAU